This 324-nucleotide ribosomal RNA is filed under the name uncultured bacterium. RNAcentral's name for it is "partial 16S ribosomal RNA". It matches the Rfam family "Bacterial small subunit ribosomal RNA", at positions 983 to 1302 of the family's 1533-position model. The record is from RNAcentral.
GACAUACACCGGAAACAUCCAGAGAUGGGUGCCCCCUUGUGGUCGGUGUACAGGUGGUGCAUGGCUGUCGUCAGCUCGUGUCGUGAGAUGUUGGGUUAAGUCCCGCAACGAGCGCAACCCUUGUCCCGUGUUGCCAGCAGGCCCCAGGGGUGGGGGGGAAUCACGGGAGACCGCAGGGGUCAAAUCGGAGGAAGGGGGGGAAGACGUCAAGUCAUCAUGCCCCCUAUGUCUUGGGGUGCCCACCUGCUACAAUGGCCGGUACAAAGAGGUGCGAUACCCCGAAGGGGAGGGUAUCUCAAAAAGCCGGUUUCAGUUCGGAAUGGC